CUUGAAUGGGAGGGCAGCUAUUUCAAACCAUAAAGAUGAGGGCUGUCCCCUAGGGAUGGUAGAACUAAGAGCCAGAAAAGACUAAGUUCUCGAUAAUCAUUUGGAACUGCAAUAGUGGUCCUGGACUACCUAUCUCUAGACUUCUUUUACAUAGGGAGAAAUAUACUUCUCUGUGAAGCCACAACCUUUUAGGAUUUUCUGUCACUUGCAGGUGAAUAUAAAUCUGUUGGAUACAAUAUUGUGUGCAUGGUAGGUGGGCCGUCAGUGGUGAGCCGGGGCUGCCAUUCAGGGAAGAGGGAUACAUGGGACCACGGGGGCUGCAACUUGCAACUGUGGAGAGAAGCAGUUACGUGGCAUGUUAUGGAUUGAACUGUGCCCCCAAAAUUCACAUGUUGAAAUCCUAACCCAAGCACCUCAGAAUGUGACCGUAUUCGGAGGCACAGCCUGUAAAGAAGGGGCCUAAGGUGAAAAGAUGUCAUUGGGGGGGCCCUACUCCUAUAGGACUGGUAUCCUUAUAGGAAGAGGAGGUGAGGACACAGACACACACAGAAAGAAGACCAUGUGAAAACACAGGGAGAAGGUGGCAUCUGUAUGCCAAGAACAGAGGCCUCAGAGGAAACCAACCCUGUGACACCUGGAUCUUGGACUUCCAGCCCCUGGAACUGUGAGAAAAUGAAGUUCUGGUGUUGAAGGCACCCAGGCUGUGGAACUUUGUUAUGGCAGCCCUAGCAGACUAAUAUAUGGCACAAGGAGAGGACCGUGGUGCCAAGAAAAAUGUGCCUGUCACUUCUCCAGCUGACGUGCCCUGGCUACCAUGCUCUGAAAUCUACCCUGGAACUCUGCGUGUGUGAGGCCAGGCUUCCCACAGGCUGCUCCCAGCCAGGGAAGAGUACAGCAGGGAUACUGAGGCAGGCCUGUUCCCUAGAGCCCGCAACUUUGGCUCUCCAUCAGCUUGGCUGAAACUGUACUGCAGCGUCAGACUCUUCCUACCCAACCUUCCUCCCUUCCCUCUCCUGCACGAGGCCACCAGGCUGCUGCCUGGUCUCCUGGCUCUCCCAACCUCCUCUAGUUCCCUCUUCACUUUCUCUUACAACUUUUUCCCUAAAGACAUCUCUUGCAGGUUCAAUCUACCCUCUGAGUCUGCUUCUUAGAAGACCUGGGCUAAUGGACUUAGUGAGUUAGUCCUCCCUACUUGCACCCAUUUCACAGAUGAGGAAGUUGGGGCCCAGUUUACAGAAUUUUAUCGGAGCCACCCCUCUCUGACUGCACACACCCACCAAGAUAAGAAGCACUUUUACAGGCGGGCUCUGUUUGCUCAAACUGUAUUUUAUAAUUAUUACUAUGAAAAAAGAAGAGUGUCUUUGAGAAUUUACCUUUAGAUAGCAAAUUCCUAUACCCCUUCUCCGAUUUACUCACCCCUUGGUACUUAUUUCUAACAUUCUAUAAUAUUUUACUUGUUUAUCUUUAUUGUCUGACACAUUGCUACUGAGGGAAUGAGUGAAUUACCUCAAAAUGUACCAUCAUCCUCACUGCUCACAAAGUUGGAUAGCAAAGGUCAGUGAAAAUUUCCCCCAGCUUGGCAUUUACGUUGCUUCAUUUAAGUGAUUGUUCACUUCUCUGUGAGCACUUCUACAUUGGAAGCUCCGUGAGAGCAGAUUAGAAUGAAUGAAUGAAUGAAUGACCUGGAAUCACCCUGGGUUGUGUCUGGAUCGUUUGGGUGGGACUCUGUGAGCCUUGUCCUCCUCAUUCUGCUCCUAUUGCUAAUUGUAGAGAGGUGGUAGCAGCUCUCCAGACUGAAAAGGAUCUGGAUGGUUUCAGUGAUGGAGGCAGCAGAUUAUCUGGGCUGAGCUCAAAGUCCCAUGCAAAUGAAGGUGAGUAAGAACCUAGGUAAGAACCAUGUGUUCAGCGGAGCAAUCGUCCAGCUCAGCCAUUAGGAUGGGAUCAGGACAUCAUUAUAUUAAAAAAAAAAAAAAAAAAAGAAAGAAAAGAAAAAUCCUGGAAGGACUCCCUAGCCCACACCACUCAGGGAAGCAGUGCACGAGGCUUCAGUUGAUGAUUUAAACAGCAGGGCUCUUGUGCUGGGGAAAUAGUCCUGGAGGUGGGAGCUAGAGUUGAGGCAAGGCUGGGAAGGAGGGAGGUGAGAAUAUCCCCAGAAAGUAGAUAGGGGCUCAGACUUGUGGCGUUGGGGCAGGGGGCCCCGCUGACCAGGGCUGGGCCCACCCGUGAUGAAGGAGAUAAAGUGACCCAGUGCUGCAUGUGUGAGUGGCAGCCGCAGCGAUGAAGGAGACAAAGUGACCCAGUGCUGCAUGUGUGAGUGGCAGCCGCCCCAGGACUGUGUCUGCAGGGGAAUCCCUUCCUGUUCCUGCUCUUGCUCAAAGGCAUGGGGCUGGAUCAGCGCCUUGUGGAGUUUGUGGAGUUUGGGCCUCUGUCUCAAAUGUUACUGAACAACCAACUUAGCUUCGGCUGCAUGUGGGUGCUUGGUGACAUUUACUUUUUGUUUGUUUGUCUUUUUGAGAUGAAGUCUCACUUUGUUGCCCGGGCUGGAGUGCAGUGAUACAAUUUCGGCUCACUGUAACCUCCGCCACCCGGAUUCAAGCGAUUCUCCUGUCUUAGCCUCCCGAGUAGCUGGGAUUACAGGCACCCGUCACCAUGCCCAGCUAAUUUUUGUAUUUCUAGUAGGGACGGGGUUUCACCAUGUCGUCCAGGCAGGUCUCGAAUUCCUGACCUCAGGCGAUCUGCCUGCCUCGGCCUCCCAAAGUGCUGGGAUUACAGGCGUGGGGCACCGAGCCCGGUCUGACAUUGACUUUUUGAAGUCAAAGUAUGACAAGUUUGCAGCAUUAGCUUUCAGUGAGAUCCCGCAGGACCAAGGUCAUAUGGAAACUUCUGCCAAAGUAAACCCCUUUCGCCUUCUUCAAAUUCUUUACAAAAAAAAAAAAAGCUUAAUUUCAGGUUAAAAAAGUACAUGUUAUUAUUAUUAUUAUUUAAAGAGACAGAGUCUCGCUGUCUAGCCCAGGCUAGAGUGCAGUGGUGUGAGCAUAGCUCACUGCAGCCUCCAACUCCUGGGCUCAAGCAAUCCUCCUGCCACAGCCUCCUGAGUAGCUGGGACUACAGGUGCACGCUGCCUUGCCUGGUUAAAAAAUACAUGUUAAUGUUGACAGACUUUAUACUUAAUAUUUUUAGAUGGGAUGACUUAAGAGGCAUAAAAAGAAAAUUAAUCCCUUCCUUCCUUCCUUCCCUCCCUCCCUCCCUCCCUCCUUGCCUUCCUUCUAUUGAAUGUGUAAUAGGUAGGCUAUCCAGAGACAGGCGGAGCCAGUGGCCUAUCUUUAAGAAGGAAAACAUGGAAGGGGUAGAGAAGUUAAAGCACUCACCGAAGAUUUUUCCAGCUAUUACGUGAGUGGCCACCCCAGUUCUGUCCAACACUGCAGCCACUGGCCAUGCCGGGCUCUCAAGCACCUGAAAUGUGCCUUGUCAUAAUCAAGAUACGCUGUCAUUGUAACAAACACACUGGAUUUUGAGGAUUUAGAGUGAAAAGGAAUGCAAAAUUGCCCAUUAACAAUUGUUUUACUAUUAACUAUAUGUUCAAAUGCUAUUUUGGUUACACUGAGGUAAAUAAAAUAUAUUGUUGAUAUUAA
Molecule: long non-coding RNA, 3632 nt
Filed under: Homo sapiens (human)
Lineage: Eukaryota; Metazoa; Chordata; Mammalia; Primates; Hominidae
Description: HSALNT0332143
Source: RNAcentral